Molecule: long non-coding RNA, 1631 nt
Organism: Sorex araneus (European shrew)
Lineage: Eukaryota; Metazoa; Chordata; Mammalia; Eulipotyphla; Soricidae
Exons: 4
Source: RefSeq, a predicted model, not a curated record
UUUGGUUGAGCCGACGUGGGAAGAGGGACGCUACCUCCGGGAGCCGGGGCGGGGCCGCCCGGGAUUGUGGGAAUGUGGCGGACCCGGAGGCCCGUGGGGCGGCGCUCCGGCCGCGUCGGGCCGCCGCUGCGGCGGAGGGGCGUGCGGGGGACGGCCAGACGCAGCCUUCCCGGGAUACCCUGGCGGCGCCUGACCGGAACCCAGCUCUGCACCCACCCCAUUCCGCUAAAAUGGGUGCAGGGGAGCAUGCAUGGGAGCAUGCAUUCUGCUAACAUGGACGCAUGCAUUCCGCUAACAUGGAAGCAUGCCUUCCGCUAACAUGGGAGCGUGCCUUCUGCUAACAUGGGAGCGUGCCUUCUGCUAACACGGAACACGCGUGGGAACAUGCAUGGGACGCCUCCCAUAUACCGGGCCGUGGGCAUCAAUGAAGUGGCGGCUGUGUGCCAGGGGUCACGCCUGGCGGUGCCUGGGAUCAAUCCUGAGUCUCCUGGGCAGGGUCCAGCAAACCUUCGCGUGCUGGGCAGAGAAGUGCACAGAGUUCACCCAAGGGGAAGUUCGGGGAGACCUGGGGCGCAGGGACAAAACCCAGCCCUCAGCCCUACCAGCCAGAAACAGAAAGUGCAGAAAGCCCACAGGUGUCUGGUGAGCCUGAGUUACAAGUGGAGAGACCCAAGUGAUAGCACAGUGGGGAGGACAUCUGCCUUGCAGACGGCUGACCGGGUCAGUUCACAGCAGCCCGCGGGGUCCCAGAGCACCGUCAGGAGUGACCUCUGAGUGCAGAGCCAGGUGUCAGCCCUAAACACGGCCGGGGGUGACCCAAAAACCAGAAAAAAGAAGAAGAAGGAGAAGUCACUUGGGUACUUGCCCUGUGACCUAUGACCUCUGUGCCCUCUUUAUUCCUGGAUAUUUAUUGCUCCGCUGAAAUAAAGAUGCAAGACACGGAGAUUUGUAUGGGGAUGUUUAAAGCGGUCUUAUUUGCUUGAUAAAUCGGUUUUGAUUUUUUUGGGCCACACCCAAAAAAGUGCUCAAACCUUCCUCCUGACUGCACUCGGGGGUCACUCCUGGUGGGACCCUAUGGGUGCUGGGGUUUGAGUGAACCUGGGUCAGUUGCCAACACCUUCCCUGCUGUCUUACCGCUCCAGAUCACCAGCAUUAUUUUACUUUUAUUAUUAUUAAUUUUUGCUUUUUGUGUCGCACCCAGUGAUGCACAGAGCUUACUCCUGGCUUUGCACUCAGAAAUUACUCCUGGCAGUGCUCAGGGGACCCUAUGGGAUGCUGGGAAUCGAACCCAGGUCAGCUGCGUGCAAGGCAAACGCCCUCCCUCUGAAUUAUCGCUCUGGCCCUCACCUGCAUCAUUUUAAUGAGCUGGUUCUCCUCCUGAACGCCCAGGCAGGCUGUGUGACUUUACAGGGUGGCUAGCCCUCUCUGAACCUCCUUUUCUUCAAAUAUUUUGUUUUAUUGUUGUUGUUUUGUGGCCACAUGCUCAGGGCCGACUCCUGAUUCUGUUCAGAACUCACUCCUAGCAGUGGUUAAGGGGCCCUCUGAGGUGCCAGGGAUCGAACCCGGGUCCGCUGCAUGCAAGGCAAGUGCCCUUCCUAGCACAGUAUGGCUCCAGCUCCAGUAGUUUUUUC